Molecule: long non-coding RNA, 942 nt
Filed under: Trifolium pratense (red clover)
Lineage: Eukaryota; Viridiplantae; Streptophyta; Magnoliopsida; Fabales; Fabaceae
Description: long non-coding RNA (TPRA_LNC008138)
Source: RNAcentral
UUAGAACUUCUUAAAUUAGAUGAAUUAAAUAUGAUUUUUUUUAAGCGCCAAAAACUUAGAAAUUCAUAUCUAAUCCAUCUGUUGUGUUUUAAAAAACUAAAUUUUUCAUGGAGAGAUUUUAUAUUGUUAUAAAUGCAAAUAUAAAAACUCAUUAAAAAUUAUGAAAGAUUGAUCGGGAGAUUAAUUUUUUGUAGAAGAGUUAAUAUAAUGUACUAAACAUAUGCUGAAAACAAUAAAAUUUUCAAGUAAUAUAGAUAAGUUGACAAGUCACUAGGCUUAGUCUAUUAGUUAGGAGUUUGAGUAGUAUGUUUGAGGUCCUAAGUUCGACUCUCACUAACUCCAUUGCAAACCAAAAAUAUAUAUAUAGAUGAGUUGAGCAGAGACAAAAAAUCGCAUAGAAUUGAAAACGAAAUUAGACAUAUUUAUAGGCUCAAAUAAUUUAUUUAACCCUAUAAAAUAAUAUAAAAAUAUAAUAUUCAAUUUUGUAUAGAAAUACCAUUACAUCAAACUAAAUUUUAAGAUACUAGAAUUCAACGAAUUUAAAAGCGAUAAUAAAAAUUACUUACCACUUGUUAUUGAAAUAAAUAUGGAAAAGAAGAUAAUCAUAGCAUAAAUAAACAUAUAAACUUUAACCAUAGCUUUCUCUUUUAUAAAUUUGGAAAUUAGAAUCAUUUGUUAGCUUUAUAGUGUGAAACAAAAUUCAUGUUUGUUAAUAUGAAGUACUAUUCUUAAAAUCAUUAUAAUUAUUAAAUUAACGUUUCUUAGAUGUAUGUAUAAAACAUACGUCUCUUUAGCUCAUUCAAUUUAUUACUUGACCUUCCAUUAUAUUUUUUUAUUUCUAUUUUAUCCCUUCAUAAUAGAGAAGGGAAAAUCUAAAAAUAUGAAUUUUUUUAGUAUACAUCCUAAUGUAAGAUUUUUAGGAUAUUUGAAAAUAGUGUAAAA